Molecule: long non-coding RNA, 865 nt
Organism: Beta vulgaris subsp. vulgaris (sugar beet)
Lineage: Eukaryota; Viridiplantae; Streptophyta; Magnoliopsida; Caryophyllales; Amaranthaceae
Exons: 2
Source: RefSeq, a predicted model, not a curated record
CCCAGUUGAACAAAACCUGACCAGUCAUGACCUGGGGCACUGACAAUCAGAAUCCUGACCUGUCCGGGUAUGACCUGGUUCGCCGUGGGUAUACCCAGAACCUGUUUACUAACCUGUUUUGACACCACUACCCUAAGGCCUAAACACUACUACUUUGUCGGUUUACUGAAGAAACCAAACACCCCCUCCUCUCUCCUCGAUUUUUACUAUCACCACAACAAAACCCCAAAGCUCUCAAAUUCUCUCUCCUCCCCGUGAAACACCCCCUUCUCCUUCGCCCUCUCUCAUCAGAGUUGUCGCCUUGUCGGCGUCCCUAAGCUCACCAAAGUUCGACGGACACUACAUCCAACUCUCUACCCUUUUUUGCUCUCCUCGCGGUUCAAUCCCCCUCCCAUGUCCGCCUCUGCUCGACGUUGGUCUGGCCUCACACUGUCACACACGUCGCAUGUUCCUCUCUCUUUGUUCAUUCAUGCUGUCGAAGGUCCUGUUACCUCUUUGGCUGGACGGAACGCUUGAACGCCGCGGUGGUGCCGCGAUCGAGCAACUCUUCUUGUUUGAGCUGUCUGGUUUGAUAAGAACAUGCAGGGAGCUGCUUGGGAGAAACAUGAGGCUGAAAGUUGAAUAUGGGAGCAGAAACACCAAUGCAGUGGCGCAUGCAAUGGCAAAAUCAUGUAGGAACAAUUCUACUAUCAAUGUAAAUGAACCUUCUGCUUGUAUUGUGAGUCCUUCAGGACUUAUUGAAGAGCUGUACCUAAAAGAGCUUGUAAACACUAAUUAAUUUAUGCUUUUUUCUGUUUGCAUCAAAAAAAAAAAAAAAAAAACUGGGUGUACUACAAUAGCCAUAUAUACUCACAUUUUACAUCAA